RNAcentral lists this long non-coding RNA (3568 nucleotides) under Homo sapiens (human). Its description in RNAcentral is "HSALNT0374006". Lineage: Eukaryota; Metazoa; Chordata; Mammalia; Primates; Hominidae. The record is from RNAcentral.
GCAACGUCCCUCGCAGAUCACAAGACGUGCCCUCAAAAUAGGCCACCCUGAAAGGGAAAGGAACCCAUCACCAUAUUGUGCAAAGUUAAGUGUACAAAAUGGACUGUUAAAGAAUAUAUUUUAAAACCUGAGAGAAAAUAAAUGUCUGAACCCAAAUCAGAGAAUAUAAAUGAGUGACAACUCAAUGAGGAGAGGAAAUUCCCAGCAAAGAGAUUGUGACAGCAUGAGAAAAAAAAGAUGAGGUUCUGGAGGCUGGGAGUUGAAGAUAAGGAUACCAGCUGGGUACGAUCCAUGCCCAGUUUUCCAUGCAGACUGCUGACUUUCUUAUAUAUCCUCGCACUGUGAAAAGAAGGUUAAAUACCUGGGAGUGAGAUUGCUGUGUCAUAUGACGACUGUAGUUCAUUCAGGAGACAACAACGCCGCAGGUGAUCUGGAGGCUCCUGGAGGACCUCAGCGACUCAGGUCCAGUCCAAGGAGGGCCGCAGAUCAGGCUGAAGAAGGAUGGAUCCACAUGCUUAGAGGAGAUCGAGAAAUGCAGCUGAGAGGUACGCUGUAUCUCUCCUACACGUGAGACCCCAGGAAGGAAAAGGACAGCUUGCCAGGUGUCCCCCUCCCGAGUUUCUAGCCCCAUUGACUGUGGGCGACAUCCCUGCACACUCUGGAGCAGUGCUGAAAAGAGAGAUGCAGCAGAGAAAUGCCACAGAAAGGGGAGCUGGAGAGAAUCAAAGCAUGAGAGGAAUUCAACCUGCUGUCACUGGAAGGGGUCCAGAUGGAACGCUUGAGAAGAAACGUGUGUAGCAUCUAGGAGUAAAGACUCGCCCUGGCUGACAGCUAGUAAGGAAAUGGGAACCUCAGUGCUGCAGCCUCAAAGAAUUGACUUUAACCCACAGCCUGUGUGCACUUAGAAGCGGAUGCAUUCACAAAUCUUCCAGAAGGGAAUGGAGCCCCAUUGACACCUUGAUUUUAACCUUCUGAGAUUCUAAGCAGGGAAUCUAGAUGAGACACGCUGUGAGAUAAUACAUAGGUAUUGUUUUAAGCUGCUAAAUUUGUGGUAAUUUCUUAUGACAGCAAUUUAAAAAACUGAUACAAAGCCAGUAACCCAAAUCCUGUAGUCUUCCAUCCUUCACAAUUUCCUACUGGCACCUCCACUCUGCAGUUCCAAUCCAUUUUACCUCCAAAGCAUGGACUGACCCCAUCUUCUCAUCUCCCCAGAAUUCUACUUCAUCUAUCAUCUGGACCAUCCCAAACUGUACCCCUGUUUUGUUUUGACUUUUGACUCUCAAUCUGUUCUCCAAACCGUAGCCGAUUAUUUACUUUAAAAAGUAUGUAAUCAUGACAUUUCUUUGCACACAGUCUUUCAGUGUUUCCACAUAAGCAAAGGAUUCCAGUUCAGCCCCACUUUAACGCAAAGACAUCCAUGACAGAUCCUAUCUCCCCCUCCAGCCUUUUAUAGCACUCUCUCUGCCUUCCUCUUUAUGUGCCUAUAUGGAGAAUUGUAACUUCCCUUCAGUACCACUCCUAGACCCAGGCGUGCAGGGUAUCUGUGCUGAGCUUAGAUCUUCAGAGGCCUCAGCUCUGGUGCUGCCUGGUCUUCCCACAGGUGAGGAAUCUAGGUAGCUGAGCAGAAAUCACCUGUAGCCCAAGUUUCCUUCUUGUGGACCAUGCCUCAGAUGUUUGGUAUCCCGACUUCCCUGGACAAAGGACCCAAAACCCUUUCCAAAGCUGGCAUGGGUUAAUUUUCUGAAUUUAUGCUCUGAAGGAUAGCACAUGCCUCUGGGCAAGUGUGAGGUAGGCUGGCCAAGAGGCAAAUGUUAGCAGUGUUGCCAAAAAGGAGGAGGUGGGCUGUGGAACCAGGGGUAAGAAAACAGGAAGAUGGAUGUCAGUCUGUUUAGGGGGUCCUAUCACAAAAUACCACAGACCGGGUGACUUAAAUCACAGAAAUUUAUUUCUAACAGUUCUGAACGCUGCUAAGACAAAGAUCAAGGUGCCAGCAGAUCCGGUGUCUGGUGAGAACUUUCUUCCUGGUUUCCUCACAUGGUGUUGUGGGUCGGGGAGGUGGGCAGAAAACUAAAACAAGGGUGUUAAUCCCAUCAUGAGGGUUCCACCCUCAUGACCCACUUACCUCCCAGAGACCCCAUCCCAGAUAUCAUUAUACUGAGGAUUAGAGUUUCUGCAUGUGAAUUUUGGAGGGACUCAAACUUUCAGCCCAUAGCAGUAGACCAUCGGUUAAGGGCUGUCUUUCCUUACCAUCAUAUUUCUAGCCUGGAAUUCCAAUAAAUUCUAAAAUUCCAAAUUAGAACCCAGCCUUCCAAGAUGUUAUGAAGAUAUAUUUGUCAAGGUAGGAGCAUAAACCUUGUUUUACAUAGCAGGUGGUUAGCUUGAUUUAUAGUGUCUAACUAUUUAGAUGUAAGAUAUGCUACCUCCAUUUGCACUUUUACCCCAGUCUCCACAAACGGUGGGGGUAUGUUUCCCCCACAUACCAUGUCUUCAUGUUGUUUCUUCCUGUGUUCCAUGUUCUUCUCAAUGCCUGGAAAGGUCUGCCCACCAUUCUUCACCUGGCUAACUCUCACACAUGGCUCAGGACUCAGGUUAGUGGUGGCCUCCCCCAGAAAGCCUUCAAUGAUUCUCCAGUGCCCCCUCCACUCAACAUGCACGUAUGUGAAAUUAUUAAAACACUCCCACACUGUAAGACAAAGAAUAGAGACUACAUUUUAUCCAUUUUGUUUCACUACCAUGGUGUCUGGUGCAUGGUGUGGGUUUAAUUAAAGUUUAUUGAACUGAAUACUGAAAGCAAAUGGUAAAUGCUUCAUUCAGAAUAUAUUCAACAAGCAUUUAAGGAAUAAUAGUACAAAGUGAAGAAGAAAAUUACUGGGGGUGGGAGAGGACAGAUGUGGCAGAUCCCUUGUUCCAGGUCACACAAUAGUAAUAAUCAUUGCCAUUUCUUGAACACUAACCAUUUGCCAGAAACAGCACGAAGUAUUUCACAUGGGUUACAUUUAAUCCUUCCAACCCCAAGAGGUAGAAACUAUUAUAUCUUCAUUUUACAAAUGAGAAAACUGAGGCUUACAUAGGUUAAGUGAUUUGCCUAAAGACUCAAAGACAGAAAGGGCUCCAAAGCCUCUGCUUUAACUAUGGGAGCAUGCUGCUUCCUGACACCUCCCAUGCACAGAAAAGGGAGCUAGACCCUUGUCCUUUUUUUUUUUUUUUUUUAAAGAGAAGAUACAAAUGGUAAUUCCCAAGGGCAUGAGUAAAUGUUAGUUGAAAGUUAAUUGCAUGUGCUUCAGAAAUAAAUGUGGGAACAUCUGAAAUGUGUAAAUAACAAUAAGAUUGCAAAGUAAGGAGGACCAUUUGGAUUACAAUAAGGAAAUGAUCAUGUUCUCUGCUGACAGUGAGCUGGGGGUGUGUCCCAGAGGAAGUUGGGAGGUCUUGUCUGGAGGCCCGCGCUGCAGUCGACUGGAAAGUUCUUAACACAGGAUGUGAGAAGGGAAUGUAUGGGGGCUGAAUUGGUCUUCAAAUCCAAAAUGUAAUACCAACACAAGUUUUACAUUAAAAUAUUUAAAGAUAGAAA